GCGGCCCUGCCAGCCCUGCCCCGAGCCGUCACGGCAGCCAAUCCUUGGGAGGGUCCCGCCCAUCCUCGUGCCCCAUUGGGGAAAUUCAAUUUGACGACCACGCCCCUGUAGCAGGCCCCGCCCCUCGAGGGCAGGACUGUAGGGGCUUGUAGUCUUGGGGCCACUGCCGCCGGGGCCUUGGCUGGUUGGGCGGUAGUCGGCAGGAGGACGCAGCUUUGCACUAAAGUCGGGGAGGGCGCCGAAAGCCGGGGUAAAGGAAACAGAAUCUCUGGAAGGUGAUGUGGCUGGCCUAGUCACACAGUUAUCAGAGUCAGGCAGGAUUUGAAUCCACAUCUUCUUGACUCUAGAGGCCAGGCUCUGGACAACUGUGCUACAGUCGCCUGUUUGUGGGGCCUCUGCUCCCGACCCCAGCUGUCUGCCUGACUCAGCAACUGUGGGUGGCCUUACUCCCGUGCGUGGGCAGCAGAGCUGAAACCCUAAUGAAGGUUAUGGCCUUGGCUUUCUCUUGCUCCUUUCUGCCUCCUGACCAACACUGGUGCUUCCGCCUAUGGCCCCACACACAUGCUGUGCCUCUUGUUUCUAGGAGAACUGAUCUCCUCUUUCCUGCAAUUCUUGCUCUGGGGGAAGCCACAUAACGACAUAGAAGUCUGACUAUCCUGAGACUGCCAUGCUGAGGCAAAGCCCAAGCUAGUCAUGUGGAAAGGCAGCAUCACAGAAAGUAACCCAACCUGCCUCCAGCUAGCCAACUGUUCUCAGCUCGGGUGCCAUGCAUGGACAUGAGGGAGCCAUCUUGGUCAUUCCUGACCUAGAAGAUACAUCACAGAGAACAACUGAGGCCCCAGACAGAUGGCCCUAGGUGAGCUGUUUCAGCCAUCUAUAGCCAUAUUAGGCACUCCAGUUGGUGUCCCAGAUAUCUAAGCACAGAGAUGAAUCAUCCAUCCUAUAUUCUGUGCAAUUCUGACCCUAUAGAAUCAUGAGUAUAUUAAAUGGUUGUUAUUUUAUACUAUGAAGUUUUGGGGUGGUUUGUUACAUAAUAAUAAACAACUGGAAUAAUCACACAAUUAUAAAUGUU
This is a long non-coding RNA of Prionailurus viverrinus (fishing cat), 1072 nucleotides long. RefSeq lists it as uncharacterized. NCBI's taxonomy places the organism in Eukaryota, Metazoa, Chordata, Mammalia, Carnivora, Felidae. The transcript is spliced from 4 exons. The record is from RefSeq and is a predicted model, not a curated record.